UACGAAGGGGGCUAGCGUUGUUCGGAAUUACUGGGCGUAAAGCGCACGUAGGCGGACAUUUAAGUCAGGGGUGAAAUCCCAGAGCUCAACUCUGGAACUGCCUUUGAUACUGGGUGUCUGGAGUAUGGAAGAGGUGAGUGGAAUUCCGAGUGUAGAGGUGAAAUUCGUAGAUAUCUGGAGGAAUACCGGUGGCGAAGGCGGCAUCCUGGACCGGCAUUGACGCUGAGGAGCGAAAGCUAGGGGAGCAAACGGG
This 253-nucleotide ribosomal RNA is filed under the name uncultured bacterium. Its description in RNAcentral is "partial 16S ribosomal RNA". It matches the Rfam family "Bacterial small subunit ribosomal RNA", at positions 524 to 776 of the family's 1533-position model. The record is from RNAcentral.